AUUGAACGCUGGCGGCAUGCUUUACACAUGCAAGUCGAACGGUAACAGGCCUUCGGGUGCUGACGAGUGGCGAACGGGUGAGUAAUGCAUCGGAACGUACCCAGAGGUGGGGGAUAACGCAGCGAAAGCUGUGCUAAUACCGCAUGUGAUCUGAGGAUGAAAGCGGGGGACCGAGCAGCAAUGUUUGGCCUCGCGCCUUUGGAGCGGCCGAUGUCGGAUUAGCUAGUUGGUGGGGUAAAGGCCUACCCAGGCGACGAUCCGUAGCUGGUCUGAGAGGACGACCAGCCACACUGGGACUGAGACACGGCCCAGACUCCUACGGGAGGCAGCAGUGGGGAAUUUUGGACAAUGGGCGCAAGCCUGAUCCAGCAAUGCCGCGUGCGGGAAGAAGGCCUUGGGGUUGUAAACCGCUUUUGGCAGGAACGAAACGGUAUCCGCUAAUACCGGGCGCUAAUGACGGUACCUGCAGAAUAAGCACCGGCUAACUACGUG
RNAcentral lists this ribosomal RNA (492 nucleotides) under uncultured bacterium. RNAcentral describes it as "partial 16S ribosomal RNA". It matches the Rfam family "Bacterial small subunit ribosomal RNA", at positions 29 to 507 of the family's 1533-position model. The record is from RNAcentral.